UCCCGUACUUAGCCUCACGUGACUCUACCGGAUUGUAGUCACCACACUGGUGUUGUGUGACAAUUGUCUGUAGUGCAGUGUGUGCUGUAUUAAAAGAGGAAUAGAAACUAAGGGAAGUGAAUUUGUCACGUGACAAGCUUAGAAAUAUGUGUCACUUCAUCCACAGCUCUGACCCGCAGACGGCGAGAUGGAUUCUGUCAAGUGGCCGAUGCUUUUCGUGUGCCUUUGCUUUAGAGUUACUCAAACUGUAGAUCCAUCUUGGAAAGUUAAGGUGCCAUCCUCAGUUAAAGGUCUCCCCGGAUCCUGUGUGUUCAUCCCCUGCUCGUUCAACUACCCAGAUA
Non-coding RNA from Gasterosteus aculeatus aculeatus (three-spined stickleback), 341 nucleotides. NCBI's taxonomy places the organism in Eukaryota, Metazoa, Chordata, Actinopteri, Perciformes, Gasterosteidae. The record is from RefSeq and is a predicted model, not a curated record.